RNAcentral lists this ribosomal RNA (470 nucleotides) under uncultured bacterium. RNAcentral describes it as "partial 16S ribosomal RNA". It matches the Rfam family "Bacterial small subunit ribosomal RNA", at positions 28 to 507 of the family's 1533-position model. The record is from RNAcentral.
GACGAACGCUGGCGGCGUGCUUAACACAUGCAAGUCGAACGCUGAAGCACCAGCUUGCUGGUGUGGAUGAGUGGCGAACGGGUGAGUAAUACGUGAGUAACCUGCCCUUGACUCUGGGAUAAGCCCGGGAAACUGGGUCUAAUACUGGAUGCUACAUGUCACCGCAUGGUGGUGUGUGGAAAGGGUUUACUGGUCUUGGAUGGGCUCACGGCCUAUCAGCUUGUUGGUGAGGUAAUGGCUCACCAAGGCGACGACGGGUAGCCGGCCUGAGAGGGUGACCGGCCACACUGGGACUGAGACACGGCCCAGACUCCGACGGGAGGCAGCAGUGGGGAAUAUUGCACAAGGGGCGAAAGCCUGAUGCAGCGACGCCGCGUGAGGGAUGACGGCCUUCGGGUUGUAAACCUCGUUCAGCAGGGAAGAAGCCACAAGUGACGGUACCUGCAGAAGAAGCGCCGGCUAACUACGUG